AGCGAACGCUGGCGGCAGGCUUAACACAUGCAAGUCGAGCGGGCAUAGCAAUAUGUCAGCGGCAGACGGGUGAGUAACGCGUGGGAACGUACCUUUUGGUUCGGAACAACUGAGGGAAACUUCAGCUAAUACCGGAUAAGCCCUUACGGGGAAAGAUUUAUCGCCGAAAGAUCGGCCCGCGUCUGAUUAGCUAGUUGGUGAGGUAAUGGCUCACCAAGGCGACGAUCAGUAGCUGGUCUGAGAGGAUGAUCAGCCACAUUGGGACUGAGACACGGCCCAAACUCCUACGGGAGGCAGCAGUGGGUGAUAUUGGACAAUGGGCGCAAGCCUGAUCCAGCCAUGCCGCGUGAGUGAUGAAGGCCCUAGAGUUGUAAAGCUCUUUUGUGCGGGAAGAUAAUGACGGUACCGAAAGAAUAAGCCCCGGCUAACUUCGUG
RNAcentral lists this ribosomal RNA (435 nucleotides) under uncultured bacterium. Its description in RNAcentral is "partial 16S ribosomal RNA". It matches the Rfam family "Bacterial small subunit ribosomal RNA", at positions 29 to 507 of the family's 1533-position model. The record is from RNAcentral.